RNAcentral lists this long non-coding RNA (8314 nucleotides) under Theobroma cacao (cacao). RNAcentral's name for it is "long non-coding RNA (TCAC_LNC004820)". Lineage: Eukaryota; Viridiplantae; Streptophyta; Magnoliopsida; Malvales; Malvaceae. The record is from RNAcentral.
UUUAGCUGGUUUCGAAAUUUUUAAGGAAAAAUGACCAAAAUGCCCCUGUGAGAUAGAAAUCAUUUUUUUUUAUUGAUUUAAGUUGAAAAUAGCUUAAAAUCUUUUAGAACAUGAUAUUUGGCAACGGUUACUCACAAGGGAAAUGAGAAACUGAUAUUAAAGCCUUGGGGGGUUUCGAUUGGCAUUCCGGGUAAUGAAUAUCUAUCGGGACAUCGCGACGAUUGUCACGGGCUCAAUGGGAGUUUCGGGUUGUGACACAUCAUCAUGCAUACCAUCCCUCCACACUCAGCUCAUGUGCACUCCCUACUCGCACAUGGCCAAGUUAUCACUAGCUCAUGUGCACUCUCACACCGUACAUAGUUGGGUCAUCAUCAGCUCAUGUGCACUCCCACACGCACAUAGUCGGGUCAUCAUUAUUACAAAAAAAGGAACAUCCAAUGCAUAAUGUACAUAUUCAUAUAAUGUGAUAAUGUAUGAACCAUUUAUAUGGCACAUUUUCACAAGAUAGAAACAUUUCACCGAAGGCUUGUUCCCCAGGUACAUUUUUAAAGCAAAAACAAAUGAACUUUCAAAUGAUUCAUUUCAACAUGUAGGCACUUCCCAAAACAUUUGAAAUGCAAGUUCCCUCACCGGUAGUUGUUAAAUCUUAACCCAACUCCAACUUCCUUUAAUGGUCCAAAUGGGGCGAUGGGGCUUCGUUGGAACCUAUCAUCACAUUAGCAUCACAAUUAACUCAAUUCACAUAAUUAUAAAUUCUAAAAGCUAUCUCCUAACUAGCUUCCAAUUGCCAUUAAAUGGCUAUCUAUUUUCACCAUCCUAGCCACUCUAAAAUGAAUAAACAACCUCAACUACAAAACACUCACAAGUCUCAUCACUAGCCAUUCUCAAUGCAUAAAAAUCUACUCUAAUUCAUUACUCACCUUGGUAGCUUUGUAAUUGAACUUCUUUCCAAAAAUUUCAAGCUAUUAUAAAAGCUCCCUUUUUCUCUCUCUAAAACACCUAGUUAGUGAGAGUAAGUAUGGAAGUAAGACUUUUCAAGGGUUUUAAAGUGAGAGAGUGAAAGAGCACAAAAGAUUCUAUGAAAAGGUGCAUAAAAGCAUGAAAAUUGGAGCUAACUUCAGAGAAGUUAUGAAGGUUUCAAACAAGCUUCCAUAGAGGAUAAAAGAAACGUGAGAUGGGAGGAAGAAGAAGAAAAAGCUGCUAGAGAGAUGAAAAAGUUGCUGAAAGAAUGAUAUUUAUAGCCAAAGCUUAUCCAAACUCCACUAAAAUUACGAAAAUGCCCUUAACAAGUUAGCUUUGUCUCCCUCCAAUCCUUUGCGCAAUCUUUUUACUCCUUUGACAGUAAGACAAAGUCCAUAAUAGUCUAGAAAUACUCGAGUUCACAAAAACUUAAAAAUUUUAACUCGAGGUGAAAAAUGACCAUUUUGUCCCUACCUCAAAAAUCAUCAUUAUUUCUAUUUCCUUUGUCAUUUUAUCCUUAUUUUCAUUAUUCAUUUAUACCUUAGGCCUACUUAGGCCUUAAUAUUGUUUGAAACCUACUUCUAGAGCUAACUAAGAAAAAUGACAAAAAUACCCCCAGUCUGUUUUAUCACGUCUACUUUUAAUUACGUGUCUAUAGAGGUCGAGGUCUCACAUUCUCCCCCACUAAAAGAAAUUUGAUCCCCGAAUUUAAAUUCAACUAUAAGGUAACGUACCUCUAUGUAUUAAAGAGGUGCGUAUAUUUUGCUCGCAUCUCUUCCUCGGCUUCCCACGUUACUUCUUCACUAGUGUGGUUUCGCCAUAACACUUUCACUGAGGCUACUUCUUUUGAACGGAGCUUUUUGACUUGCCUAUCAAGGAUGGCCACCGGUUGUUCUUCAUAGGUCAAAUCAUCUUUCAACUAAAUCGUUUCAUAUCGUAUUACAUGCGACGGAUCCGGGUUAUACUUCCUAAGCAUCGACACAUGAAAUACGAGGUGAAUAUUCGAAAGGUCCGGUGGUAGUGCCAAACGAUAUGCUAUUGCUCCAACCCUUUCUAAGAUCUCGAAGGGUCCUAUAGACUGAGGGCUCAAUUUUCCUUUCUUACCAAACCACAUUACCCCUUUUGUUGGUGAGACCUUAAAAAAUACAUGAUCCCCCACUUGAAACUCCAAGUUCCUUUGUCUGUUAUCAGCAUAUGACUUCUAUCUACUUUGUGCUGGUAACAUCCUUUGACAAAUUAUGUGUAUUUUCUUGGUGGCAUCCUCCACCAACUCAGGCCCCAAGAGUUUCCUUUCUCCCACCUCCGUCCAUAUAAUGCUUCAAAUGGUGCCAUUUGGAUGCUAGCUUGGAAAUUGUUGUUGUAGGCAAACUCCACCAAGGGUAGAUAUCGAUCCCACUUGACCCCAAGGUUUAUUACAUAGGCCCUCAACAUAUCUUCCAAUGUUUGUAUCAUCCGUUCAGACUAUCCAUCAUUCUAAGGGUGGAAAGCCGUGCUGAAAUCCAACUUAGUGCCUAAAGCUUCUUGCAACUUUUCCCAUAACCUACUAGUGAACUAUGCCCCCCUGUCGGAUACUAUAGAAAUAGGAAUGCCAUGCAGUCAUAUUAUCUUGUCUACAUAAAGUUAGGCGUAGUAGGCCACCCCGUAUGUAGUUUUAACCGAAAGAAAGUGAGCUGAUUUCGUUAACCGAUCUACUAUGGCUUAGAUCAAGUCGUAGGCCCACUAGUCCGAGGCAAACCCGUUACAAAGUCCAUUGUAAUAUGCUCCCACUUCCAUUCGGGCACUGGUAAUGGCUAUAGUAGCCCUGCAGGCCUUCAAUGCUCGACCUUAACCUACUGACAAACUAGGCACUUGGAGAUGAACUCAGCUACAUCUUUCUUAAGUCCUUCCCACCAACAUACCUCUUUCAAAUUUUGAUAUAUCUUUGUAGCCCCUGGAUGUACCACAUAGGCUACCAUGUGCGCUUCCUCCAAUAGUUCUCUUCUCAAUCCAUCACUAUCAAGCACAUAAAAUCUGGUUCCAUACCUCAAUACUCCAUAUGUGCCUUUAGUAAACAUCUUUCCUUUCUUUCUUUGAGGAUCCUCAAAGGCCUUAGCUAUGAACUCAUCUUUACUUUGUGCUUAUUUAAUCCGGUCCAUUAAGAUAAGCCUCACUCUAAAAUGUGCUAGCAAUGCAUUUGCCUCUGAAACUUCUAAAUGCACACCCAUGUCUCCCAAACUAUACAUCUCCCUAAUCAAGGAUCUUCUAUCUGUGGAGAUAUAUGCCACGCUUCCUAUCGAUUUUUGACUCAAGGCAUUCGCCACUACAUUUUCCUUACUGGAAUGGUAGAGAAUAGUACAAUCAUAAUCCUUUAGUAACUCCAUCCACCUACGUUGUCGCAAGUUAAGAUCCCUCUGCUGAAAUAUAUACUUUAAGCUUUUGUGUUCCGUAUAUAUAUCGCAAGUCUCACCAUACAACUAAUGUCUCCAAAUCUUUAAGGCAAACACGAUUACUGCCAUCUCCAAAUUGUGUGCGGGGUAAUUCUGCUCAUGCCUUUUAAGUUGCCUUGAUGCAUACGCAAUCACCUUCUCAUGUUGCAUUAAAACACACCCUAAACCAACCUUUGAUGCAUCACAGAAUACCGUAUAACCCCCUAUGCCUUGCGGUAGGCUUAAUACUAAAGCUAUGGUGAGACAUGCCUUAAGCUUCUCAAAGCUAUCCUCACAAGCAUCUGACCAUUCAAAUUUUGUAUAUUUACAAGUCAGCUUAGUUAAAGGGGUGACUAUUUUAGAGAAGUCCUUCACAAAACGACGAUAAUAGCCAGGCAAACCCAAAAAGCUUCUAAUCUCCAUAACUGAUGUUGGCCUUGGCCACUUUUCUACGACCUCAACUUUAUUUGGAUCGACUUGUACCCCAUCGUUGGAUACCACAUGUCCAAAGAAUGGAACGCUUUCGAGCCAGAACUCACACUUGGAGAACUUGGCAUACAAUCAAUGUUUUCUUAGAGUUUGGAGCACUAUCUUAAGAUGCUGCUCGUGCUCCUCCCUACUCCUCAAGUAGAUCAAGAUGUCAUCAAUAAACACCACCACGAACUUGUCCAAAUAGGGCUUGAACACUCCAUUCAUUAAAUUCAUAAAGGCCACAAGGGCAUUUGUCAGCUUAAAUGACAUCACUAAGAACUCAUAGUGCCUAUAUCUUGAUCGAAAUGCGGUCUUUGGUAUAUCUUCAUUUCAGAUCCUCAACUGAUGGUACCCAGAUCGUAGAUCUAUCUUAAAGAAGCAUUGUGCUCCUUGUAGUUGAUCAAAUAAAUCAUUUAUUCUUGAAAAGGGGUACUUAUUCUUCACCGUUACCUUAUUAAGUUAUCGGUAGUCAAUGCACAUUCUAAGCGACCCAUCUUUCUUCUUUACAAAUAGCAUUGGUGCUCCCUAUGGUGAGACAUUAGGAUGGAUGAAGCCUUUAUCCAACAAAUCUUCUAACUGAUCCUUAAGCUCUUUGAGCUCUGUAGGUGCCAUUCUAUAUAGGGGUAUGGAUAUAGGUCUAGUGUCGGGAAUCAAAUCUAUGCAAAAUUCAAUCUCUCGCUUGGGAGGCAAACCUGGUAAUUCCUCGAGAAAUACAUCCACGAACUCAUUCACUAUCGACACAUGGCUUAUGUCUCUGACCUUCGCUUGGGUAUCCCUCACAACAGCCAAGUAACCUUGACAACCCUAUCUUAAUAGCCUCCUGGUAGACAUGUCUGUUAUCAAAUUAGUUAGAGCAUUGCUUCUAUCCCCUUGCAUACUAAAUGAUGGCUCAUCCGGGAAAUCAAAUUUAACCAAUUUAUGAUAACAAUCCACACUGACAUAGCAGGGUGAUAGCCAAUCCAUUUUCAAGAUCACAUCAAAGUCUAAGGUGUUUAACACCACUAGAUUCACCAAAGUGUUUUUGUCCUUGACUCGAACUACACAGGACUCAUAUUCCCAUUUGGCCAUAAAUACCUCCUUUAAAGGAGUAGACACCACUAAUUGCUCUUCUCUCUUAACACGAUCUUUACCCAAACGAGAUGCAAAGCAUGGAGAAAUAAAAGAGUCGGUAGCACCAGGAUCAAACAAUACCCAAGCAUUCAUAUUACAAACUGAGAGAAUACCUGAUACCCCUGUGUUGGAUGUCUGGGCCUCUUGUUGUGUUAAAGCAAACACACUUGCUAAACCCCUACCGACGAAACUCUAAAGUCCAAACCCAGAAGGCAUGCCUUGAGAGGAAGUAACAGCACCUCUACCUCUCGAUCCAUUAGCCUCUCGAUUAGAUGAAGAGACUACUGAAGGAGCAGACGAGGCUGGUUAGGAGAAAUCGCGACUAGAACCUUAGGAUUGAUGAGCCAUCGAGCAAUUCCUCUUAAUAUGUCCAAGUUGACCACACAAGAAACAAACUCCCAUAGCACGGAGGCAUCUUCCUCUUUGCCAUCCCUCACAAGUAUAGCAACGACGGAUAACUUGACUUCCCUGCUUUGAAUCUUGAUCACUCCCAACACUGAAGGUUCUUUGUCCCGACCCAAUACUAGCACUAGGCAAGUCACUCCCUUGUUGGGGUAAUCGUGAGUCCCUCUAUGGGCCCUGAAGGCCAGAGGAUGAAAUACUACCACUAAAGUCUCUACGACCCUGAUAGCCCUCUGUCUUGGCCCUCUUUGCACUAUCCCUAGCAGCCUUAGUCCCAUUGGUCCUCAUCUCAAUCCGCUAGGUGCAAUCCACUACUGCGAAAUAGGUAUUGAAAUCUCGGGAUGCCAUAGCCUUAAAUAAUGGCUCCACUAGCCCAUCCACAAAUCUCUGAAUCUUUAUCUCCUCAAUAGAAACUAGGCAGGGCGCAUACCGAGCCAAAUGUGUGAAUUUUAUGUUGUAUUUUGACACCGUCAUACUCGAUGUCUGUACUAAAGCCUCAAACUCCCUAGCUCUAGCAUUACGUACACUGAGUGGUAAGAAUCGAUCUAAGAAGGCUGUACUACUCCUUCUAAGUCAACAGCAUUGCAUCUGCCGGCCUACCUCUACGCAAGGAGCCAUACCACUCUUGUGCCACGUCCUCUAAUCGAAAGGCGGUUAGCUCAACUGAUCUAGUACUAGAAUAUCCAAGGCCUCACAAAUUUUCUCCAUCUUAUCUAAGAAAAUCUAGGGCUUCUCCGACGUAUCAGACCUUGAAAAUGACGGAUGCUGAAGCUUCAAAAAAUCUAGAAUAGAAAUCUCUAAAUGACCCCUCUCAACCUCAAGAUGUUGGCAAUCGACUUGCCCUUGGGAGCUAGGGGAUUCUUGUAGUACAAAUCUCCCCUCCACUAUCCUCUGUAUAUCAUCCAUACGAGUUGCCAUCAUCUCUACAACCACGAUUAACUCCCUGUAGGCCUGCCGCCAAAUCUUCGAUGGUGUGCCCCCAGUUGGUUGUCUAUUUGCAUCGCGCAAAGACUAUCCCUCCUAUUGUCUACUCACAGGCGUAUCCGCUCUCAUCGGCCUAGUGGCCCCACCACUUCUACCUCGACCCUUAAGAGUGGAUGCCCGUGGCCUAUCUGUCAUCUCAUUAGGAACAUCUUGCUCCCCCAUCCGUCUUGAGGCAGCUCGUGUCUUAGGCGACAUUCUUACUUAGACAAGAGCAAACACCUGUUAUUAAACACAUUUUGCGAUUAUAAUCAUAUCUAAGGAAAAAGGUGGUUCAUAAGAUAAGGAAUCUAUGCAGUCCCUUGGUUGUAAAAUGUACCGCGGUUCACACUUCACAAUCGAAGUUUCCACAUAAAAACCUGACAUUCCGCUGGAUCAACAAAAAGGAAAUCCUAGGACCUAAACAACCUAGUGCUCUAAUACCAAGUUUGUCACGACCCAAAUUAUGGGCCAUGACCAGCGCAUGGGCCCAAUGGACAUAGCCCACUAAGCCCAAGCAAGCCCAUUUAUAUGACAUAUUCAUCAUUGCAUUAAAAGUUGCUAAAGUCAACAUUCAUAAUUUCAAUUCAAAAUAACACUAACCAUUGCUAUAUGAUAGUGGCAUUACUAAUAAAAAUAUAUAUAUAUAUAUAUAUAUAUUGUCUACAACAUGUAUCUUAAUAAUUUACAUCAAGUUUGUCUAUACACAACAAAAGGGAUACUCGACUUCCAACAGAGAAACCCGUGCAAAGUUGUAGCUAUUGAUUGCCAAGAUACCUACCAAGAAGAUGAAUCUACGAGAACACCUCUACCUAGUUACCGACUGGCUCCUGAUCUAAAAACAUGAAGUUGAAAACAGUGAGUAUAAACUCAGUGAGUGAACAAAGGAAGGGAACAAGCAAACGAUAAGGAAAGUUUAAAGAAAUCAUGAUGCAUUUAUUUCAAAAGCAAUGCAAUUUAAUUUAAUUCUUAAUAAAACCCCUCUUUAAACCCUUAAUUGGUUAAUCACUUGAUGAUGAGGAUCCCUACAUAACAAAGAAUUUAAAAAGUGAAAACUUUAGUAGCAUUCAAGCAAGUCAAGUGAAACGCUGCAGCGAGAAUGAACUUUUGCUGUAGCGAAAUUGGGCUCAAAUCAUUGGUUGGCCGAGGGUUUUUUACUAAACCUCUCAUUUCAAACUUAAUUAAUUAAUUCCUUGAUGUUGGAAGUCCAUAGUGAACUAUGAUAUUAAAGGAUUGAAAAAUAUGGCUGAAACCAAACAAGAUAGCAAGCAAGACAGAAGGUUUCUCGCUGCAGCAUUCAUUGCAGCAAGAAUCAGGCCAGUGUAACCCUCCAAACUUGAGAGUUUCUCGUUGUAGCGAGAAACAGAGCAAUUUUGUUAAAAGUGAUCUUGUUACAUCAAAAGCCAUUUUUCUUGCUGAAAUGAAAAGUAAUUUGGGGACAAUUAACAUUGCCAACGAACAACACAAUCACAAAUAUUUUCAUAAACUUUCUAUAACAUUUAUAUAUAUAUAUAUAUAUAUAUAUAUAUAUACAUACAUNUGUUACAUCAAAAAGCCAUUUUCUUGUUGAAAUGAAAAGCAAUUUGGGAGCAAUUAACAAUGCCAACAUACAACACAAUCACAAUUAUUUUCAUAAACUUUCUAUAACUUAUAUAUAUAUAUAUAUAUAUAUAUAUAUAUAUACAUACAUCAUCAUGCAUACCAUCCCUCCACACUCAACUCAUCUGAACUCCCUACUCGCACAUGGCCGAGUCAUCAUCAGGUCAUGUGCACUCCCGCACUGUACAUAGCUGGGUCAUGAUCAGCUCAUGUGCACUCCCACACGCACAUAGUCGGGUCAUCAUUAUCACACAAAAAGGAACAUCCAAUGCAUAAUAUACAUAUCCAUAUAAUGUGAUAACGCAUGAACCAUUUAUAUGGCACAUUUUCACAAGAUAGAAACAUUUCACCAAAGGCUUGUUUCCUAGGUACAUUUUUAAAGCAAAAACAAAUGAACUUUCAAAUGA